Molecule: ribosomal RNA, 204 nt
Filed under: Triticum aestivum (bread wheat)
Lineage: Eukaryota; Viridiplantae; Streptophyta; Magnoliopsida; Poales; Poaceae
Description: partial small subunit ribosomal RNA
Source: RNAcentral
AUGCUUCAAAACUAUGAAACUCUGAAGAACCUCACAGGUGCUCAAGCCAAUGUGAUUAGGAACUUGAAGUUUAAUCAUUUGAAGGAGAAGGAGAGGCUGACAGAAGAGAGGCUUAAACUGCAGUAUCACAUUUCUGAGCUUGGAAAGUCUGAGGAAAAGAUAAAGUUGAAGCUUCAGGGUGUGAAGGCCAUAUUAGAUGAGUAG